GAUGAACGCUGGCGGCGUGCCUAAUACAUGCAAGUCGAGCGAACAGAUAAGGAGCUUGCUCCUUUGACGUUAGCGGCGGACGGGUGAGUAACACGUGGGUAACCUACCUAUAAGACUGGGAUAACUUCGGGAAACCGGAGCCAAUACCGGAUAACAUUUGGAACCGCAUGGUUCUAAAGUGAAAGAUGGUUUUGCUAUCACUUAUAGAUGGACCCGCGCCGUAUUAGCUAGUUGGUAAGGUAACGGCUUACCAAGGCGACGAUACGUAGCCGACCUGAGAGGGUGAUCGGCCACACUGGAACUGAGACACGGUCCAGACUCCUACGGGAGGCAGCAGUAGGGAAUCUUCCGCAAUGGGCGAAAGCCUGACGGAGCAACGCCGCGUGAGUGAUGAAGGGUUUCGGCUCGUAAAACUCUGUUAUUAGGGAAGAACAAAUGUGUAAGUAACUGUGCACGUCUUGACGGUACCUAAUCAGAAAGCCACGGCUAACUACGUG
This 497-nucleotide ribosomal RNA is filed under the name uncultured bacterium. RNAcentral describes it as "partial 16S ribosomal RNA". It matches the Rfam family "Bacterial small subunit ribosomal RNA", at positions 28 to 507 of the family's 1533-position model. The record is from RNAcentral.